RNAcentral lists this ribosomal RNA (305 nucleotides) under uncultured bacterium. Its description in RNAcentral is "bacterial SSU rRNA". It matches the Rfam family "Bacterial small subunit ribosomal RNA", at positions 335 to 658 of the family's 1533-position model. The record is from RNAcentral.
UGCCUACGGGACGCAGCAGUGGGGAAUAUUGCACAAUGGGCGAAAGCCUGAUGCAGCAACGCCGCGUGAAGGAAGACGGUUUUCGGAUUGUAAACUUCUGUUCUUAGUGAAGAAUAAUGACGGUAACUAAGGAGCAAGCCACGGCUAACUACGUGCCAGCAGCCGCGGUAAUACGGAGGAUGCGAGCGUUAUCCGGAUUUAUUGGGUUUAAAGGGUGCGUAGGCGGAAUGCCAAGUCAGCGGUAAAAUCGCGGGGCUCAACCUCGCUCCGCCGUUGAAACUGGCGUUCUUGAGUGGGCGAGAAGU